CCCUGGAGAGGAAGCAGGUGUGGGGUUGUCUCUUUGUCUGGAUGGGUGUGUGGCAUUGCUGUUCCUGCUCACAGCUGGGAAAACUGAGCAGUGAAAUGAAACACGAGAGAAGGCAUUUCCAUUGAUGAGUGAGAAAUCUCCGUCCUCUUUCUGGGAACCGUAGACAUCAGCUGGGUUGGACCUGGAGCGAGAUCAAGUAUUUCACGACCUAGUGGAAGUCACAAACAAUAUGGGGCCAAGCAUUCGUAAUGUUUGGUGCCUGUUUGUGUAGCUAUUGCAGCUAAUAUCCCAAAUAAAUACCUCUGUGACUAAUUUCUUGGAAGGAUAAAACACAAUGAAAGGAGCUGUCACAUGAAAAGAGAUGAUUUUGAUGUUUGUUUUGUGUUUAUAAACAUAAAUUCUGCCUCUUGGGCUGUGUAAUAUGCUUCAUCUAAAACCCUGUUAGUCUCUUGCUAGAAAAACAUAUUUGUUUUCUGUCCUCGUCUCCAAAAGCCAAAGAAGCAGCCUUAUCCUUCUCUCUGGGCUCAGGCAAACCUCUGCAUGUUUUGCUGAAGAUCUAGAGGUACAAAGUCUUAAAUUCUAAAAAUAAUUACAGUUUCAU
Molecule: long non-coding RNA, 601 nt
Organism: Phasianus colchicus (ring-necked pheasant)
Lineage: Eukaryota; Metazoa; Chordata; Aves; Galliformes; Phasianidae
Source: RefSeq, a predicted model, not a curated record